GGCCUAGGUAGAUGCUAAAUUGCAAGUUUGGUUUUGAAAAUGCAGAUUUUCGUAGGCCU
Molecule: transfer RNA, 59 nt
Filed under: Phrynocephalus forsythii
Lineage: Eukaryota; Metazoa; Chordata; Lepidosauria; Squamata; Agamidae
Also listed under: 1 other name
Description: tRNA-Cys
Source: RNAcentral